This 274-nucleotide ribosomal RNA is filed under the name Escherichia coli. RNAcentral describes it as "partial 23S ribosomal RNA". It matches the Rfam family "Bacterial large subunit ribosomal RNA", at positions 1 to 266 of the family's 2925-position model. Lineage: Bacteria; Pseudomonadati; Pseudomonadota; Gammaproteobacteria; Enterobacterales; Enterobacteriaceae. The record is from RNAcentral.
GGGUUGUGAGGUUAAGCGACUAAGCGUACACGGUGGAUGCCCUGGCAGUCAGAGGCGAUGAAGGACGUGCUAAUCUGCGAUAAGCGUCGGUAAGGUGAUAUGAACCGUUAUAACCGGCGAUUUCCGAAUGGGGAAACCCAGUGUGUUUCGACACACUAUCAUUAACUGAAUCCAUAGGUUAAUGAGGCGAACCGGGGGAACUGAAACAUCUAAGUACCCCGAGGAAAAGAAAUCAACCGAGAUUCCCCCAGUAGCGGCGAGCGAACGGGGAGCA